AAGUGUGAGACAGGGUCAG
RNAcentral lists this unclassified non-coding RNA (19 nucleotides) under Mus musculus (house mouse). RNAcentral describes it as "oocyte_clustered_small_RNA9097". The record is from RNAcentral. Lineage: Eukaryota; Metazoa; Chordata; Mammalia; Rodentia; Muridae.